UACUGCAAUAUGUUUGUGCCUCUUUGAAGUAUUUGCACCGCUAUUUGAUAAGUUCCUACGUGGAACGGAACGUUCCACAGCUGUCAAAAUAAUUUUACAGAACCUAUUGUAAUUGUUUAAGGGUUCAUUGACAUCAUACUCGAAAUCCAAAAGUAAUUGAUUAACAGUUUCAGAAUAAAGAUCCCAAUUAACGAGACAUGCUGCAACGCUCAGAAUUCUUACAGAAUUUAGCUAAAUGUCCAUACCUCAAGCACCGGUAGCAUUGUUUAACUGGUGGUAUAUAUGGAGUGACAUUGUGGCGCCAACCUCCAAUAUCCAGAUAUUCAGGUAAUACAGAUGCAGCAAAAGUAAUUGCCACGGUUAGAGUUGGCUGUAACACAUAUCCAUGAGUCAAGGUAUUUUUUCUUAAAAUUCUUUUAAUAGCAAUAAUUUUCUUAGAACUCGAUAUCAUAGUAUAUAUUUUUUUAUUAGAUAUAUUUGUAGGUACAUUUCUAAUAACGCCUGUAACUUCUGUUGAAGAAGCAGGAAUACUGGCCUUAAAAUGGUAGUCAUUUAAAAAAGUUUUAUUAUUUAAAAAAGCAUUGGCUAAGUCUGGCUUUUGAAAGUAUACUCCGAUUUUGAAUUUAUUUAUAGAUCUAAGAUAAGUUACCCCUUUAUUAAAUCGUUUUAAACAGGAGGAGAGUGAGAGCAAGUCUCUGGAUCCAAUGGUUUUCUGACUAUCUGAGGAUUCUACAAAGACAACAAAUUCUGUCCCAGGGGAUUCCUCGGGAUAUCUUCUAAUAUAAUCUGUGACGUAGUAAGGUUUAUACUUAUCGGCCUUAUCAAUUUCAGAUUCUGAGUCAGUAGAAGUAUCUUCCGAAUAUAUAUCCUUGUCAUUACAAGGUUCAUGGUCUACAUCACCUGAAUCGUCAUCUUUUUUUUUCCUUUUUCUACAACUGCGCUUCCCCAUGAAUGCUAAUUAUAUUAUUGUCGCUGAAUUUAGUGAAAAUAUAAUAUUUUAUUCAAUAAUAAGAAUUGAUAGAGAUAGUUUUAAUAAAUUAAUAAAAAAAAAUUAAAAAACCCGCUUGUUCUUAUUCGAGUUUCCCGCCUUUUUCACCUCAGAACUAAUUUUGAAAUUGACAGUAGACACUAAUAAAUUUUUUUUGGAGAUAAAAUCAUUUUGCUGUACAGCUAUAACGUGUUAUCAUAGUAAAUUUAGCAUUAAUACCGAAUCCAGUUACAUAUAUCAUCAUCAUAUCAGCCGGUAUACAAUGGGGCGUAUCCCGAGGUGCCAAUUGUCUAAACAAGUCUCUCAAUCCAAUAUUUUAAUUUGAUAAUUUCGCGAAAUUACUGUUAAUAAUUAAUGACGGCUUAAAAUCGAUCCCAUUGGCUUAUAGUACCUCUUAUUUGGUUUAUUAUGUUUGUAUAAUAAAAAUACUAUUUAUCACUAGACCAUUUUAUUUAUUUAAAAAUAAAAAGCUCAUUAAUUACAUAAAUUUAUGUGCGUAUUAAAUGAGAGGUGAAUAAAAGAUAAAAAAAACAUGACAAAUAAAGUUUAUCAAAUAAUGAAAAUGGUACGGUUUACAGUGGACAUUGUUAAGUACAUCUAUCGUGAAACGUAAAAGAAAUACAUGAUGAGAUAAAUCCUGUAAAAUUGUAUAUUCGUAUUACUAAAAAGAUCUAUAAAUGCAAAACUCUAAAUGAGUAUACAAUAGAAAAAAAAUACAUCCAAAGAAAAAUGUUUAUAUAGCUCAUUCGUUCAUAUUUUUCCUAUAGUUUAAAUGGUUUGUUAACCUUAAACCUAUGGUAAUUAAACAAGUACAAAAUGAUAUUUCAUCUUAUAAAUAUCUAUUCAUAGCCUAUAACUAGAGUCAGUUGUAUAAUUCAUUAAAUAUUAAGUUAAUUAUAUUUCAUAGUGUACACACCAUCUAUUCAUGUCGAGUAACCCAUCAUAUUAAAAACAGUUAUUCGAUUCGGUUCUUACCGUGUUACGGCUUGGCUUUUA
Galleria mellonella (greater wax moth) is the source of this 1984-nucleotide long non-coding RNA. RefSeq lists it as uncharacterized. The transcript has 3 exons. The record is from RefSeq and is a predicted model, not a curated record. NCBI's taxonomy places the organism in Eukaryota, Metazoa, Arthropoda, Insecta, Lepidoptera, Pyralidae.